UUCAAAAUCUCAAAACCCAUAUAUAUUGGUUUGACUGGUUUAUAACUUAAACCGAUAUCAAACCACCUCAAACCAAGCUAACCCGAAAUUGUAACCUUGUUAUGUCACCAACAUCGAAAUUGUGACCGGAGAAGACGAAGAGAAACCACUGUCACGCCAUCAAGAUCGUCAUCGCAUCAUCCCUAAUCCCAAAAACAGGAUCCCUAAAUCUCUAUCUCAACAGGUUCAAAUAACAGCCGACGACGUCUUGAAUGAAUCUGAAUUCUCUCUCUGUUAAGGAGAGAUGAUUUGCUCAUGGUCGCCUUCGUCACCGGAGCCAAGCUACCGGCUUCUUCAAGUCAAAGCAACAUCAACCGCAAUGGCCAAAUCAGAGUUUGAGUUUCCAUCGUGAAGGCCAAAUUGUAGAUGGGUUUCUCAUUAUUGUCGUUAAUUGUUCUUGAUUUUGAGUAUCAAGCUCUCAUGUAAAGUGAAUCGAUUUUGUUUUGGGUGAUGUCACAGAUUGUAGAAGUGCGAAUCCAAACGAAAAAAAGAAUAAAAAAAUUGCUUGAUUCUAAAUUUGUCUAAUCCGAAGAUUAGAUUUUGCUCUUGAAAACAGAAUUGCAGAAAAGUGCAAGUUGACACAAAUUGC
Molecule: long non-coding RNA, 628 nt
Filed under: Arabidopsis lyrata
Lineage: Eukaryota; Viridiplantae; Streptophyta; Magnoliopsida; Brassicales; Brassicaceae
Description: long non-coding RNA (ALYR_LNC003234)
Source: RNAcentral